RNAcentral lists this ribosomal RNA (753 nucleotides) under uncultured bacterium. RNAcentral's name for it is "bacterial SSU rRNA". It matches the Rfam family "Bacterial small subunit ribosomal RNA", at positions 28 to 776 of the family's 1533-position model. The record is from RNAcentral.
GAUUAACGCUAGCGGGAUGCCUAAUACAUGCAAGUCGAACGAAGUAUUUAUACUUAGUGGCGAACGGGUGAGUAACACGUAUCCAACAUACCCAUAAGAGGGGGAUAACUAGUUGAAAAACUAGCUAAUACCCCAUAGCAUAUUUUUACAUAAGUAUUAAUAUUUAAAGUUGCGUUUACAACACUUUUGGAUUGGGGUGCGACGUAUUAGAUUGUUGGUGAGGUAAUGGCUCACCAAGUCGAUGAUGCGUAGCUGUGCUGAGAGGCAGAACAGCCACAAUGGGACUGAGACACGGCCCAUACUUCUACGGAAGGCAUCUGUAGGGAAUUUUCCACAAUGGGCGAAAGCCUGAUGGAGCAAUCCCGCGUGAACGAUGAAGGUCCUACAAGAUUGUAAAGUUCUUUUAUUGGGGAAGAAAUGUAAGAAAAUGAAAUGUUUUUUAUUUGACGGUACCCUUUGAAUAAGUAUCGGCUAACUAUGUGCCAGCAGCCGCGGUAAUACAUAGGAUGCAGGCGUUAUCCGGAUUUACUGGGCGUAAAGCGAGCGCAGGCUGAUUUACUAGUCUGAUGUUAAAGACGACUGCUUAACGGUUGUUUUGCAUUUGGAAACUGUAAAUCUAGAGUAUAGUAGAAAGCUUUUGGAACUCCAUGUGGAGCGGUGGAAUGCGUAGAUAUAUGGAAGAACACCAGAGGCGAAGGCUAAAACUUAGGCUAUAACUGACGCUUAGGCUCGAAAGUGUGGGGAGCAAAUAGG